GGUCGUUAGCUCAGUUGGUAGAGCAGUUGACUUUUAAUCAAUUGGUCGCAGGUUCGAAUCCUGCACGACCCA
This 72-nucleotide transfer RNA is filed under the name Salmonella enterica subsp. enterica serovar Poona. It matches the Rfam family "tRNA". From Rfam's summary of the family: Transfer RNA (tRNA) molecules are approximately 80 nucleotides in length. Lineage: Bacteria; Pseudomonadati; Pseudomonadota; Gammaproteobacteria; Enterobacterales; Enterobacteriaceae. RNAcentral also lists the same sequence under 13 other names. The record is from Rfam by way of RNAcentral.